This 1362-nucleotide ribosomal RNA is filed under the name Duganella phyllosphaerae. RNAcentral describes it as "bacterial SSU rRNA". It matches the Rfam family "Bacterial small subunit ribosomal RNA", at positions 70 to 1433 of the family's 1533-position model. The record is from RNAcentral. Lineage: Bacteria; Pseudomonadati; Pseudomonadota; Betaproteobacteria; Burkholderiales; Oxalobacteraceae.
CAGCGCGGGGCAACCUGGCGGCGAGUGGCGAACGGGUGAGUAAUAUAUCGGAACGUACCCUGGAGUGGGGGAUAACGUAGCGAAAGUUACGCUAAUACCGCAUACGAUCUAAGGAUGAAAGUGGGGGAUUCGCAAGAACCUCAUGCUCCUGGAGCGGCCGAUAUCUGAUUAGCUAGUUGGUAGGGUAAAAGCCUACCAAGGCAUCGAUCAGUAGCUGGUCUGAGAGGACGACCAGCCACACUGGAACUGAGACACGGUCCAGACUCCUACGGGAGGCAGCAGUGGGGAAUUUUGGACAAUGGGCGCAAGCCUGAUCCAGCAAUGCCGCGUGAGUGAAGAAGGCCUUCGGGUUGUAAAGCUCUUUUGUCAGGGAAGAAACGGGCCUUUCUAAUACAGAGCCCUAAUGACGGUACCUGAAGAAUAAGCACCGGCUAACUACGUGCCAGCAGCCGCGGUAAUACGUAGGGUGCAAGCGUUAAUCGGAAUUACUGGGCGUAAAGCGUGCGCAGGCGGUUUUGUAAGACUGUCGUGAAAUCCCCGGGCUCAACCUGGGAAUGGCGAUGGUGACUGCAAGGCUAGAGUUUGGCAGAGGGGGGUAGAAUUCCACGUGUAGCAGUGAAAUGCGUAGAUAUGUGGAGGAACACCGAUGGCGAAGGCAGCCCCCUGGGUCAAAACUGACGCUCAUGCACGAAAGCGUGGGGAGCAAACAGGAUUAGAUACCCUGGUAGUCCACGCCCUAAACGAUGUCUACUAGUUGUCGGGUUUUAAUUAACUUGGUAACGCAGCUAACGCGUGAAGUAGACCGCCUGGGGAGUACGGUCGCAAGAUUAAAACUCAAAGGAAUUGACGGGGACCCGCACAAGCGGUGGAUGAUGUGGAUUAAUUCGAUGCAACGCGAAAAACCUUACCUACCCUUGACAUGGCAGAAAUCCCGGAGAGAUUCGGGAGUGCUCGAAAGAGAAUCUGCACACAGGUGCUGCAUGGCUGUCGUCAGCUCGUGUCGUGAGAUGUUGGGUUAAGUCCCGCAACGAGCGCAACCCUUGUCAUUAGUUGCUACGAAAGAGCACUCUAAUGAGACUGCCGGUGACAAACCGGAGGAAGGUGGGGAUGACGUCAAGUCCUCAUGGCCCUUAUGGGUAGGGCUUCACACGUCAUACAAUGGUACAUACAGAGGGCCGCCAACCCGCGAGGGGGAGCUAAUCCCAGAAAGUGUAUCGUAGUCCGGAUUGUAGUCUGCAACUCGACUGCAUGAAGUUGGAAUCGCUAGUAAUCGCGGAUCAGCAUGUCGCGGUGAAUACGUUCCCGGGUCUUGUACACACCGCCCGUCACACCAUGGGAGCGGGUUUUACCAGAAGUAGGUAG